GAUCUGAUAGCACAAGGCCGUGCAUCCGCUAUCAUUGGGUAUCUCCAGAAGUUGAGGCGGAGGAUCCCGGUUCGAGUCCGGGUCGGGUCA
Mycena galericulata is the source of this 90-nucleotide non-coding RNA. The record is from the annotation of a GenBank genome assembly. NCBI's taxonomy places the organism in Eukaryota, Fungi, Basidiomycota, Agaricomycetes, Agaricales, Mycenaceae.